This 253-nucleotide ribosomal RNA is filed under the name Clostridium sp. Its description in RNAcentral is "partial 16S ribosomal RNA". It matches the Rfam family "Bacterial small subunit ribosomal RNA", at positions 524 to 776 of the family's 1533-position model. Lineage: Bacteria; Bacillati; Bacillota; Clostridia; Eubacteriales; Clostridiaceae. The record is from RNAcentral. RNAcentral also lists the same sequence under 1 other name.
UACGUAGGUGGCGAGCGUUGUCCGGAAUUACUGGGCGUAAAGGGUGCGUAGGUGGAUUUUUAAGUCAGAUGUGAAACUCCCGGGCUUAACCUGGGAACUGCAUUUGAAACUGGAAGUCUAGAGUGCAGGAGAGGAAAGCGGAAUUCCUAGUGUAGCGGUGAAAUGCGUAGAUAUUAGGAAGAACACCAGUGGCGAAGGCGGCUUUCUGGACUGUAACUGACACUGAGGCACGAAAGCGUGGGGAGCAAACAGG